GCGAAAGCAACAUGAACUGUUAAGUGGGCUCCACAGUAUUGAACCAAUAGCAGAUGACAUUCUUAUAAUUGGCUGUGGUAAUACAGAUGAGGAAGCUGAGCAUGACCAUGAUGAGAAGCUAGGAGCAUGAUUGGAUCGUUGCAGGCAGGUAAUGCGUAAAGAAAUUACAAUUCAAGGUACGUAAAGAAAUUACAAUUCAAG
This is a non-coding RNA of Pelobates cultripes (western spadefoot toad), 201 nucleotides long. The record is from the annotation of a GenBank genome assembly. Lineage: Eukaryota; Metazoa; Chordata; Amphibia; Anura; Pelobatidae.